This 497-nucleotide ribosomal RNA is filed under the name uncultured bacterium. Its description in RNAcentral is "partial 16S ribosomal RNA". It matches the Rfam family "Bacterial small subunit ribosomal RNA", at positions 28 to 507 of the family's 1533-position model. The record is from RNAcentral.
GACGAACGCUGGCGGCGUGCUUAAUACAUGCAAGUCGAGCGAACAGGCGAUGACCUUGCUCCUCUGGCGGUAGCGGCGGGCGGGUGAGGAACAUGUGCAUAACCCACCUAUAAGACUGGGAUAACUUCGGGAAGCCGGUGCUAAUACCGGAUUCUUUAUUCAACCUCAGGGUUCAAUAGUGAAAGACGGUUUUGCUGUCACUUAUACAUGGAUCCGGGCGGCUUUAGCUGGUUGGUAAGGUAACGGCUUAACAAGGCAACCAUGCGUAGCCGACCUGAGAGGGUGAUCGGCCACCCUGGAACUGAGACACGGCCCAGACUCCUAGGGGAGGCAGCAGUAGGGAAUCUUGCGCAAUGGGCGAAAGCCUGACGGAGCAACGCCGCGUGGGUGAUGAAGGUCUUCGGAUCGUAAAACUCUGUUAUUAUGGAAGAACAAAUGUGUAAGUAACUAUGCACGUCUUGACGGUACCUAAACAGAAAGCCACGGCUAACUACGUG